This 492-nucleotide ribosomal RNA is filed under the name uncultured bacterium. RNAcentral describes it as "partial 16S ribosomal RNA". It matches the Rfam family "Bacterial small subunit ribosomal RNA", at positions 29 to 507 of the family's 1533-position model. The record is from RNAcentral.
AGUGAACGCUGGCGGUAGGCCUAACACAUGCAAGUCGAACGGCAGCACAGUAAGAGCUUGCUCUUACGGGUGGCGAGUGGCGGACGGGUGAGGAAUACAUCGGAAUCUACUUUUUCGUGGGGGAUAACGUAGGGAAACUUACGCUAAUACCGCAUACGACCUACGGGUGAAAGCAGGGGAUCUUCGGACCUUGCGCGAUUGAAUGAGCCGAUGUCGGAUUAGCUAGUUGGCGGGGUAAAGGCCCACCAAGGCGACGAUCCGUAGCUGGUCUGAGAGGAUGAUCAGCCACACUGGAACUGAGACACGGUCCAGACUCCUACGGGAGGCAGCAGUGGGGAAUAUUGGUCAAUGGGCGCAAGCCUGAUCCAGCCAUACCGCGUGGGUGAAGAAGGCCUUCGGGUUGUAAAGCCCUUUUGUUGGGAAAGAAAAGCAGCAGGUUAAUACCCCGCUGUUCUGACGGUACCCAAAGAAUAAGCACCGGCUAACCUCGUG